This 460-nucleotide ribosomal RNA is filed under the name uncultured bacterium. RNAcentral's name for it is "partial 16S ribosomal RNA". It matches the Rfam family "Bacterial small subunit ribosomal RNA", at positions 338 to 795 of the family's 1533-position model. The record is from RNAcentral.
CCUACGGGUGGCAGCAGUGAGGAAUAUUGGUCAAUGGCCGGAAGGCUGAACCAGCCAUGCCGCGUGAAGGUCAGUGCCCUAUGGGCGUUAAACUUCUUUUGUGCGGGAGCAAUAAUGGUCACGUGUGGCCAGACGAGAGUACCGUACGAAUAAGCAUCGGCUCACUCCGUGCCAGCAGCCGCGGUAAUACGGGGGAUGCAAGCGUUAUCCGGAUUUAUUGGGUUUAAAGGGUGCGUAUGCAGUGAGGUAAGUCAGCGGUGAAAUGCCCCCGCUCAACGGGGUGAAGUGCCAUUGAUACUGGCGUGCUGGAGUGCGGAGGACGUAGGAGGAAUGUGUGGUGUAGCGGUGAAAUGCAUAGAUAUCACACAGAACACCGAUUGCGAAGGCAUCUCACGAAUCCUCGAUUGACGCUGAUGCACGAAAGCGUGGGUAUCAAACAGGAUUAGAUACCCCAGUAGUC